GUGUCAGAAUAUUUCUGUCUGUCCAUCCAGAGGCUUCCUUCUCGCCUGCGGUCAGAGGCAUCAAAACUAAAGAUAUCAAACUUUAGCCAGCCCUCGGGAAAGGAUGAGAUGAGCUUACUGGUUUUUCCUACACACCUGAGCACCACGGGCACAAACUGGAAUCCAGACUCCAGGUGAAAAUCCAUCAUUUCAACCCUGUUGCCUGCUCAAUUGACCAUCACGCAUGUUUACACCGUCUCUACACCCGUGCGUCUCAUCACCCACUGCGAGGAGCUCAGCCACCAUCCCCAGUCCACCCCAGCCUCUGAGCUAGGCCCCCCCAUAGAGGUAUGCACUCAGCCUUGUCAUAGCUCUAGGCAGUGCAUGUUCUUGUUGUGGGUUGA
Molecule: long non-coding RNA, 383 nt
Organism: Seriola aureovittata
Lineage: Eukaryota; Metazoa; Chordata; Actinopteri; Carangiformes; Carangidae
Exons: 3
Source: RefSeq, a predicted model, not a curated record